UACGUAGGGUGCGAGCGUUGUCCGGAAUUACUGGGCGUAAAGAGCUCGUAGGUGGUUUGUCGCGUUGUUCGUGAAAUCUCACGGCUUAACUGUGAGCGUGCGGGCGAUACGGGCAGACUAGAGUACUGCAGGGGAGACUGGAAUUCCUGGUGUAGCGGUGGAAUGCGCAGAUAUCAGGAAGAACACCCGUGGCUAAGGCGGCUCUCUAGUACGGUACUGACGCUGAGACGCGAAAGCGUGGGGAGCGAACAGG
This 253-nucleotide ribosomal RNA is filed under the name uncultured bacterium. Its description in RNAcentral is "partial 16S ribosomal RNA". It matches the Rfam family "Bacterial small subunit ribosomal RNA", at positions 524 to 776 of the family's 1533-position model. The record is from RNAcentral.